CCUACGGGUGGCAGCAGUGAGGAAUAUUGGUCAAUGGGCUUACGCCUGAACCAGCCAAGUCGCGUGAGGGAAGACUGCCCUAUGGGUUGUAAACCUCUUUAGUCAGGGAGCAACGCAGGCUACGUGUAGCCGGACUGAGAGUACCUGAAGAACAAGCAUCGGCUAACUCCGUGCCAGCAGCCGCGGUAAUAAGGAGGAUGCGAGCGUUAUCCGGAUUUAUUGGGUUAAAGGGGUGCGUAGGCGGAAUGCCAAGUCAGCGGUAAAAUCGCGGGGCUCAACCUCGCUCCGCCGUUGAAACUGGCGUUCUGGAGUGGGCGAGAGGUAUGCGGAAUGCGUGGGGUAGCGGUGAAAUGCAUAGAUAUCACGCAGAACUCCGGUGGCGAAGGCAGCAUACCGGCGCCCAACUGACGCGGAAGCACGAAAGCGUGGGUAUCGAACAGGAUUAGAUACCCGAGUAGUC
RNAcentral lists this ribosomal RNA (460 nucleotides) under uncultured bacterium. RNAcentral's name for it is "partial 16S ribosomal RNA". It matches the Rfam family "Bacterial small subunit ribosomal RNA", at positions 338 to 795 of the family's 1533-position model. The record is from RNAcentral.